GACGAACGCUGGCGGCGUGCUUAACACAUGCAAGUCGAACGGAAAGGCCCCCACCUUGGUGGGGGUGCUCGAGUGGCGAACGGGUGAGUAACACGUGGGUGAUCUGCCCUGUACUUCGGGAUAAGCUUGGGAAACUGGGUCUAAUACCGGAUAGGACCAUGGUUUAGUGUCUCAUGGUGGAAAAAUUAUUGUUUUGGUGCAGGAUGAGCUCGCGGCCUAUCAGCUUGUUGGUGGGGUAAUGGCCUACCAAGGCGUCGACGGGUAGCCGGUCUGAGAGGGUGGACGGCCACAUUGGGACUGAGAUACGGCCCAGACUCCUACGGGAGGCAGCAGUGGGGAAUAUUGCACAAUGGGCGCAAGCCUGAUGCAGCGACGCCGCGUGGGGGAUGACGGCCUUCGGGUUGUAAACUCCUUUCGUUAGGGACGAAGCCACACCUUUUUUGGGUGUGGUGACGGUACCUUUGUUAAGAAGCACCGGCUAACUACGUG
Molecule: ribosomal RNA, 489 nt
Filed under: uncultured bacterium
Lineage: Bacteria
Description: partial 16S ribosomal RNA
Rfam family: Bacterial small subunit ribosomal RNA
Source: RNAcentral